RNAcentral lists this ribosomal RNA (562 nucleotides) under uncultured cyanobacterium. Its description in RNAcentral is "bacterial SSU rRNA". It matches the Rfam family "Bacterial small subunit ribosomal RNA", at positions 152 to 746 of the family's 1533-position model. Lineage: Bacteria; Bacillati; Cyanobacteriota. The record is from RNAcentral.
GGAAACGACUGCUAAUACCCAAUGUGCCGAGAGGUGAAAGAUUUAUCACCUGGAGAGGGGCUCGCGUCCGAUUAGCUAGUUGGUGGGGUAAGAGCCUACCAAGGCGUCGAUCGGUAGCUGGUCUGAGAGGAUGAGCAGCCACACUGGGACUGAGACACGGCCCAGACUCCUACGGGAGGCAGCAGUGGGGAAUUUUCCGCAAUGGGCGAAAGCCUGACGGAGCAAUACCGCGUGAGGGAGGAAGGCUUUUGGGUUGUAAACCUCUUUUCUUAGGGAAGAAGAAAGUGACGGUACCUAAGGAAUCAGCAUCGGCUAACUCCGUGCCAGCAGCCGCGGUAAUACGGAGGAUGCAAGCGUUAUCCGGAAUUAUUGGGCGUAAAGCGUCCGCAGGUGGCACUUCAAGUCUGCUGUCAAAGACCAGAGCUCAACUCUGGGCAGGCGGUGGAAACUGGGGAGCUAGAGUACGGUAGGGGUAGAGGGAAUUUCCAGUGUAGCGGUGAAAUGCGUAGAGAUUGGAAAGAACACCAGUGGCGAAGGCGCUCUACUGGACCUGUACUGACAC